This 467-nucleotide ribosomal RNA is filed under the name uncultured bacterium. Its description in RNAcentral is "partial 16S ribosomal RNA". It matches the Rfam family "Bacterial small subunit ribosomal RNA", at positions 28 to 507 of the family's 1533-position model. The record is from RNAcentral.
GACGAACGCUGGCGGCGUGCUUAACACAUUCAAGUCGAACGGAAAGGCCUCUUUCGGGGGGUACUCGAGUGGCGAACGGGUGAGUAACACGUGAGUAACCUGCCCUUGACUUUGGGAUAACUUCAGGAAACUGGGGCUAAUACCGGAUAGGAGCUCCUGCUGCAUGGUGGGGGUUGGAAAGUUUCGGCGGUUGGGGAUGGACUCGCGGCUUAUCAGCUUGUUGGUGGGGUAGUGGCUUACCAAGGCUUUGACGGGUAGCCGGCCUGAGAGGGUGACCGGCCACAUUGGGACUGAGAUACGGCCCAGACUCCUACGGGAGGCAGCAGUGGGGAAUAUUGCACAAUGGGUGGAAGCCUGAUGCAGCAACGCCGUGUGCGGGAUGACGGCCUUCGGGUUGUAAACCGCUUUCGCUCAUGACGAAGCUUUGUGUGACGGUAGUGGGUAAAGAAGCACCGGCUAACUACGUG